This 1171-nucleotide long non-coding RNA is filed under the name Phocoena sinus (vaquita). Its description in RNAcentral is "lncRNA (ENSPSNG00000003470.1)". The record is from RNAcentral. Lineage: Eukaryota; Metazoa; Chordata; Mammalia; Artiodactyla; Phocoenidae.
GAAAGGAGAAAAAGCCCACUGUGGGGAGAGCACUGAUAGCAUCUUCUCCCUCAAAGGAAGUUUGGUCACUUUCGGAUGCCUGGUGACUUCUCCAGGGCCCACUUUAAACAUGUCAAUUUUAUAGCUGUGCGACUAUUUACAUUUUUUAUAGGUAGGAGUUUACAACUGAGCAGAGAGUGAGGAGAAGUGGCAUCCAUGUGCAGCCCUGCAUCUGGUGUCCGUGAACUGGGCUGUCAUGCCUUGGCCUCCUCCUGUUCAUAUUGGCUAUAUAAAGGAUCUCAUGGCCUUCUGCAGAAGAGACUCACACACAAACACCAGUUCUUAAAUACUGUGAGAACUGACCAAAAAUGGCUGCCAUAUUGAGGUUUGGUCCUUUUAUUGCUUUUUAAAAAUAUCUUUCUGCCAUUAAACCCUUCUCCAUAGUGUUCCAACUGCUGCAGGAUAAUUUAAUGGUGGAAGCAAUUCUCAGGGGUUUUUGGUCUGUUCCAUCUCAAAGCUUUGUGUGUUGUCUUCCCUAAGGUUGAUGUGGCUAACGUGGCCAAACCUGGAAUUGGCACAUCAGGAUACAGCAUGUGGAGUCCACUUGAGUUUAUAGAAGGGCCGAGCCUGUGGUCUUGGUGCUAUAUGCCCCUGGCCCCGAUGUCCUUCCCUUUCCUGGAAGUCAGGUGUUUCCUGCCUUUGCUGUUCCUUCUGUGCAGGACACUUUGCCUUCAUCUUCAGUGGGAAAUAUAAAUGGAUUCUUGUCAAUCAAAUGUUGGGUCACUUGUCCCUUUCUCAGAAGACUUCCUUGAGUGCCAGUCUAAAGUAUUAGCCUUGCCAGUGUCUGUCAGCUAUAUUCACUUGUUCGCAUGUUUAUUGUGUGUUUUAGCGAUGAGAAUAUUUAAGAACUGAACUUGCAUCCUAUAUUGCUUUAUGCCAGUUUAGAUAUGAUACUUUUGAAGUUUUACUUGAAAAUUGGAUGUCUGUUCAAGUGUCUUCUCAAUGAGAGGACCCCUUCUUGAAGAUUUUGUUAGAAAUAUCAAGCAAUACAAGAAAUAUCAUUAGGUGCAAAAUACUCAUGUGUUUAUGAAUUUGUGACCAAAUUAUGCAAUGUUAUAUUUAAAAUUUUAUAAUUUUAUAUAAAUAUGCAUUUUUAUGAAUCCGUGACCAAAUUAAAUAUGCAAUUUUAUAU